RNAcentral lists this transfer RNA (71 nucleotides) under Stegodyphus mimosarum. It matches the Rfam family "tRNA". Rfam says of the family: Transfer RNA (tRNA) molecules are approximately 80 nucleotides in length. Their secondary structure includes four short double-helical elements and three loops (D, anti-codon, and T loops). Further hydrogen bonds mediate the characteristic L-shaped molecular structure. tRNAs have two regions of fundamental functional importance: the anti-codon, which is responsible for specific mRNA codon recognition, and the 3' end, to which the tRNAs corresponding amino acid is attached (by aminoacyl-tRNA synthetases). tRNAs cope with the degeneracy of the genetic code in two manners: having more than one tRNA (with a specific anti-codon) for a particular amino acid; and 'wobble' base-pairing, i.e. permitting non-standard base-pairing at the 3rd anti-codon position. Lineage: Eukaryota; Metazoa; Arthropoda; Arachnida; Araneae; Eresidae. The record is from Rfam by way of RNAcentral.
ACCUUCGUGGUGUAACGGUAGCACACUCGGCUUGUAUUCGAGAGGUCCAAGUUGGAGUCCCGACUAAGGCA